GGGGGUGUACCGGUUUCGACUGGUACGGUUCGGGGUGCAGGUUGCAGGUGGAGCGCCGACCUCCUGAUUCGGCAAAACAAUAACUGCCAAAAACGACAGUUCUUCUUACGAUUACGCCUUAGCCGCGUAGUCUCGUGGGACCCUCCCGCCGCUCUGAGGGUGGGCUUCCGCGAAACAAUCAGAGCUGGUUCCGCGCCGGUUUCGGACGGCCCGAAACGAGAACCUCCCGAACUACGGAUGCGCCGCGAGCCGCGCCGCCCAGCGUAUCCCGACAAUGAAACCGCGGCUAAACCUGUAGAGGCUUGUAUUUCGCGUAUUAGGACGCGGGUUCGACUCCCGCCACCUCCAUUU
RNAcentral lists this transfer-messenger RNA (351 nucleotides) under Spirochaetaceae bacterium. It matches the Rfam family "transfer-messenger RNA". Rfam says of the family: Bacterial tmRNA, also known as 10Sa RNA or SsrA, is named for its dual tRNA and mRNA-like properties. Its role is to liberate the mRNA from a stalled ribosome. Lineage: Bacteria; Pseudomonadati; Spirochaetota; Spirochaetia; Spirochaetales; Spirochaetaceae. The record is from RNAcentral.